AACGCUGGCGGCGUGCCUAACACAUGCAAGUCGAGCGGGGUCCAUCCGGUAGCAAUACCGGGGAAGACCUAGCGGCGAACGGGUGAGUAACACGUGAGAAACCUGCCCCGAAGUCUGGGAUAACCCGAGGAAACUCGAGCUAAUACCGGAUGUCUUCUUCUGAUCGCAUGGUCGGAUGAAGAAAGAUUUAUCGCUUCGGGAGGGUCUCGCGGCCUAUCAGCUAGUUGGCGGGGUAACGGCCCACCAAGGCGUCGACGGGUAGCUGGUCUGAGAGGACGAUCAGCCACACUGGGACUGAGACACGGCCCAGACUCCUACGGGAGGCAGCAGUGGGGAAUAUUGCGCAAUGGGCGAAAGCCUGACGCAGCAACGCCGCGUGCGGGAUGAAGGCCUUCGGGUUGUAAACCGCUUUCAGUGGGGACGAAUUCAGACGGUACCCACAGAAGAAGCCCCGGCCAACUACGUG
Molecule: ribosomal RNA, 466 nt
Filed under: uncultured bacterium
Lineage: Bacteria
Description: bacterial SSU rRNA
Rfam family: Bacterial small subunit ribosomal RNA
Source: RNAcentral